AGCUAGUUGCGGGUAUUAGCUUAGUGAUUAUUCUACAAAAUAAGACACGUAGCCGCACCAAAGUGUGCCACGUGCCCUCAAUAUUCCACCGCCUCUUCUUUUCUUGGCUCCCCCGUCUCUUUUCCUUCUUUUAAAUCUGCAUAAUUCUCAGUCCCUCUCCCUCAAAUAUCUCUCGCCUCUCUCAGUCUCUUCCCAUUUUGUCAACCUUAAUCUUUCCCUUCGCUUCUCUUCCCUCUCUUCCUUUGUUUUUAUCUUUUACUCCCCAGCUGCCAUUGUUCUUUUGUCUAGCCGGAACCGCCUUGCUGUCUCUGAUGAUGGACUCCACCCUGCACUUGAUGUUCGAUUACAGUGGAAUUGAACGAGACGUUGAUCAAGAAGUGAUUGAAGUGGGUAUUCAGAAAUAGCUAAGUUGUGUUGCAAGUUGAAGUUACGCAGAGAUUUGCUAUAUAGAUGGAAUCUUGUCAGAAGUUAGUAGAAAGGAAUGAUAAGGCACUACAUAGUGUUAAUCGAAACCCGAGCUAGACACCAGAAUUAAGCUAGGGAUAAAGAUGAUUCACUUAAGACUGCGCGUAAGGGUAAUGAUAGGCAAGGAUUGUAAGUGGUCGAGUUUCAGGCAAGUAGAAUAUCCAGAAAGAUGUCUUUAAGGCUGGUUGUAGUUGGAGUUGUGCAAUUCAGUUCAGUUGGAAACUAGAUUUCUUUCUUUGGUUAUCAGUUACUCUUCUUAUCGAGGUUUAGCUGAUAAUGUAGUUUAAAUUGUAAUUAUAUUUGAUAGUUUUAGUUUCUGAUUUCAAUGCUGUAACCUGUAUGAGAUCCUGUUUUUA
Long non-coding RNA from Daucus carota subsp. sativus, 821 nucleotides. RefSeq lists it as uncharacterized. The record is from RefSeq and is a predicted model, not a curated record. The transcript is spliced from 3 exons. Lineage: Eukaryota; Viridiplantae; Streptophyta; Magnoliopsida; Apiales; Apiaceae.